UUGUAAAGUUUUAAAAACUUUCAAUUAAAAAAAAAAGAGUCUGUGGGUGUGAGUGUGGGUGUGUGAGAGACAGAGAGAGAGAGUGAAAGACUGUGUGUGUGUAUCUUAACCACUUCAUCACUUUGGUUGUCCUUUAGUGUGAUUAACUGUAAAUUUUCUCUGGUUUCCUAGACUUGCUUGGCAAACGAGGGGAUGCCUGUUUAUAAGGUGGAGAUAAAAAGACAGCAGAAAAGAAGACAUUUCCAGGAUGCAAACAGAAGCCUCUCCUUCAACGCCUGCCUCCAGUUCCCCUCGUUUACCCUCCUAAUCUGGUCUGCUAUUCAGAGGUGGCACUUUCUGGUUUGUUGACCUCAGAGCUCAAGAGUAGAGAAGGUCUUCACCAAGUCUACCUUCACGGAUGGCUGUGCCACACACCAGCUUAAGCUCGGGUCACCCCCGAGAGCAAAACCAUUUCAAAUGCCAGAGGCAAAACCAGCUCCUCUUCCUUUGCUCAUCGCAACGGGAUUGCAUUUGAUCGUCGCUUUUCCUGCCUUUGGAUAAGCUCCCAUUUCUCUUCUCGUACCCCGGGGAUGUGCCCACUAUCGGGAAAUCGCUUCGCCUAGAAGUGAAAAAAUGCUGCACGGAGUGUUUUCACUCGCCAGUUUAUCUUGCCCAGGCAACCGGUCGGACGAAACCCUCCCACGGAGACUUGCAUUGCCAAAUUAAAACAUGAACAAAAUCAGAAUGAAAUCUGGAACACCCUGAAAGGAAAUAAGCUCCCCCAAAUAGCAACACUCCAGCUGAAACUCCUGUGAACAACAGGAAGUUCUUCUCUGCAUAUCCUGUUUGCGGAAUUUUUAGAUGCGGGUGAAUGUUUGUGGAGAUGGCGUGUGACGCAGAGGCUGAAGCCAACAAUAAGAAUAGCUGUCCUCCAAUCUUUCAACCUUCUCUUUACAUUCACAUUUGGACCUGACAGCUGGAAUUGGCAGCCUUUCCCAGCCUCCACACAAAUAAAGGGGUAUCGGAAAGAGACGUGAUGGACUCUAAAGCUUGCAAAUGAAACUUUUAACAGAUCGGCUUUAAAUGGAUCUUGGGUGCUCAGCUGAAAUUACAGGGCAAGAUACAAAGGUCUUGAGAUCACAGUGGAAGGACCAGUUCUGCUGUUGGGUGACGAUCCCAGAGUUGAUGGAGCUCCCACUGAAAAGGCUCUGUUGUGGAAAACAGCUAAGGGUGAUUGCCUUUUGACAAUAAUAAAGCACAGCAUCACCUACCGACACUUGUCAGUUGAGCUGAGUUUGCAAGUUGCUACACAGGGCUGGCUGGCACAGGCUGGAAUGUGAGCUGCUUCCCCAAGACUGUCAGCCAAGCCUGCUACAGAGCUGGAGGACUCAGAGCACAUUGAAAAACAGCAAUGAAGCAAGGACUUUGUGUCUUGAGAACAGUCCAUAACCGGAGUCACGCCUUGACUUCUACCCCCCCCCCCCGGUGCUAUUUGGCUUUGGGGUAGCGUGAUGCCACUGUGGUUUGAAAGUUGUGAUUUAUGACUUGGCACCUUAUGUGAACUCAACCAAAGAUCCUUUAUUCAACCCAUCAAGAGCAAACCCUGGCUUCAUUCUGUGUGUAAACUCAACAUUCAUAUCUCACACACUAAGGGUAAUCUGUCCGUCUGAAUCUUCUUUCCUUCCUUAGGUGGCAGGCCUGCAUGAAUUAAUAGAUUUGCCAGGGUCAUGGGUUAUUUUGCUCCUGUUAGCAAGCCACUUAAAUGACUUUCCAACAGCUGCUUGAAUAGCCCAUAAAAUGUACCUCCUACCGACAGAUGCAUAGACCCCUUGUGUAGAUUUACGUGGAAAUAGUCAAGAUGGCAGCCAUCAUGAUCUGAUUGAAAUCUUUUUUUAUAUGCAGAACACACACACACACAAAUUCAACUGUGGCUGUCUUCUUGACCUGUUUUCCUCCCCACCUCAUGCCAUGGAUGGUCCUACACUGGAUGAUCAAAUUUAGGGGUAGGAGAAGCUUCAGAAUCCUGCUCUGAGCAUGGAGCCAGCUCCCAAACCCAGCUGCAAGGCAGAUGUUUCAGUAGCUACACAUCCAGCCAAAGUUCAAACACGGCCGUUGUCCUCCUGGCAUAGGAUGCUUGGAAUGUGACAUCUAUUGGACCUCUGCCUGCUUCUCAGCUGUAGAAGCCCAAAUCUUCUGGUAGAAGGUGCUCCUCUGCAGUGAAAAUGGGAAGGUGCAUGAAAGUACGUUAAAGGUGUUGGCAGGUCAGGUAAGGUAAAACCUGUCUUUGCAAUUUGAAUGGGAAUUAUAAUUGCUUUGGAAUCGCUUGCUAUAUUCAGCCAGGAAUUGUUGGCACUGAACCACGUGGGGAAUGGAGCAAAGGGAAGGCCAGGUCAUGCCCUGAUCCAAUUUCACUCAAAACUCAUCACCUGGGCAAGUUUUCUGAGGCCAAACAGAUUUAAGUUCUCAGAAUCCAUUGCCAUCCAGGCAGUAUUUGUUAAGAAAAAAAAUAGUCUAUACAAAUAUGGCUUAUUGAACCACAAUGCAGAGGGUUCAGAGAAUAUGCUAAACCAUGGUUGGCCAACCAUGGGGCUGGGCUCAAUUCUAGACAGAAGCAAACCAACGGAGUCAUGACAGAAGCAAACCAACGGAGUCAUGGGUUAGUGUGAUGUGUGAAGACAACCAAUACAAUCUUAGUUUGUCAUAGCAGGUUCUUUCAAGCCAGUCCUGUGAAUGGUCAGCCAUGAUUUAUAGCUUUGUGUUGGGUGAAUCCAGGUCAGUUGGGCUCAAUGCACAAACCAUAGUUAAGUGAACCAAAGCUAAGUGAGUUAUCUGAAAGUUGCAGGGAUGAACUAAGGUUCAGGCUUGCCUGAUCUGGCAUCCUUCAGGUUGGACUCCAAAUUUAGAACGUCAGAGCAUAGAACCCCAGAGUUGGAAAGGAUCUGGGAGGUCAUCUAGCCCAACUCAAGCAGGAGAUCCUAUACCAUUUCAGACAAAUGGCUGUCCAGUCUCACAAUAGCUGCCAAAUGUUCACUCUUGACAAGGAGUGUCCCGUACCAAACAGCAUCCUUUUGAUUUUGGCACAUUAUGCUAAGCACAAAAUUGGUAUUACGACCAUAGUUUUGGCGGAUUUGGCAUCGCGGUUAAAAACUGCCUGCCCUUGGACGUGCCCCAAGAGUCUCUGGUGGAGAAAAGAGUAUUUUCUGCUUCCUUGUUUUUUGUUCUUGAGGAAACAUUCACUUUCUGAAGAACUAGCCACCAGAUCAUUGAAUGCUUCUCGGCCCUUGUUAGACUCUCCACCCGGGCCACGGUUGCUAAGCAGCUGUUAGCCAAACAUCCAAAGUCAAUAUGUACUAUCUCUCUGACGUCAGCUGAGUUAAAGAUUAUUUCAAAUAAAGUUGCUGUGUGUAUUAAAGGCUUUUCCUGUGUGUGCAACUUGCCAGCCAUUGUCCAUAUUUUGGAGACUCCAGCCUUGCCCAGUCAGAUGUCCUCUGCAUUGUCCAUCCUUCCCAAACAGGAGGGCCAACGUCCUGGGAGUAGCUAUCCCUCACCACUCACCAACUGGGACGGCUAAACCUCACCAGGUUUAUGCUGCUUAUGUGUAGAAUUAUAAGUGUUCCACUAAGACAGGGGUAGACAACCUUGGCUCUUUUUUUAUGACUCAUGGACUUCAACUCCCAGAAUUCCUGAGCCAGCAUGGCUCAGCUUGGAAACCUCUCCCUUUCCCCUCAGCAUAGCUAGCUCAGGAAUUCUGGGAGUUGAGGUCCACGAGUCAUGAAAGAGCCAAGGUUGCCUACCCCUGCACAAGGAGAACUCCAGAUUGGGAAAACUAAUGACGACGACAAAAUUUCCUAAAUUGUCCAAAAUGCUGAGUCUUCCCCAGAAGAAAUGGAAUCUUUCCCAAAUUGGAAACAACCAAUUUCCAGAUGGAUUUUUUUUAAUUGGGUUUUCUUUUUCUGUUUCUGGGCUCUUGUUUGCAUUUAGAUGCAUUUUCCUUUUGUGUGUGUGUGUUUAGUUUUGUUUUGUUUUUCAAUAGCACAAUAAAAAUAACUGCAGGAAAUUGGAUACAUAGGUUUUUUUUUUUUUAAAUUAACACAUAACAUCUCUUUUUUAAGGAUUUGUAUAUCUUUAGCAAUUAUGUAUCCCUCACCGAUGUAUGGUGGGUGCACUGAAUCCCUCUGCAUUAUUAUUUAUUUAGGUAUUCCAUUCAGAACUUGGUUUUUUUUCCAGGUGCUGUCUGGGAGUUUCUCUCCACCACCACCCCCCCACUUUAUCUCACAAUAUCUCUUUGUUUUCAAUCCCAGUUUAAGGCCUUAAUCUUUGUACUCAUCUCCUGCUUUAAAAAACAACAACAACAGACCAACACAAUCUUACAGUAUUUAAUUCAUUUUACAAAGCCCUGUACGUUACUAAGAGCAAUCUGCGUGCUUAGCAAGAUCCUUCCUUGUGGUCAGACGGGGGUCAAACCAGCUUUUUCAUGUCUGAAAAUAAUUAACCUUUCUUCCUCCUCUAAAUUUUCAAAAACGUGGGCAGAGUUUGCCCAGUUUCAGCCCGAUGUGGCUUUCCUUUUUUUUUUUUUUUACGGCUUAAAGGACGAGCACCUGCAGCGAAGGUUUAUGACUGGAAAAACCAUUUAACACUACGAACUCUCUUGAAAUCCGAUGGUUUAGUUGGUCAAUUGUUAAUGCAACAACCCCUUGGGGGCUUGGAAUUUGCUUCUUGCAAAUCAGUAAGGGUGUUUACCCUCUGGUAACACUGUGACCUUUCGGGGCACUGACCUAGUACAGAAAUAAAAUUUGGUUCACCUUGUCACAACUCAAUGGCGCAACUUACUUACGCUAUUUGCACAGACUGGGUGUCAGGUGAUUCAAUCCCAGCUCAGCUGAGCAAGAUUAGAGAAGGUGGCCAGGCCAGGCCAGGAGAAAAUCUACCCUGCUGGCAAAAGCAGAGCCCAGCCAAACACCCUUACCACCUACAACCGGUUGCAAACUUUCCUCUUAGGUUAAUUAACUCACCCCACCUCUCUCCUCCAUCAAUAGGAUUUUUUCAUUUCACCCUCCCCCCCUCCAGCUGCUUCUCCUGGGGCUACACUUUGCUAACAAUCAAUGUUUGGUGAUUUCCAAACAGAGAUAAAAUUCCAGGGCCUGUUUGGGACCGAGAGAGUCCUCCUAUCUCCCCCCCCCCACCAUAAUGUAAAACAACAAUGAAGGUGUUUCAUGCAUAAAGGUCACACGGCCGGGCGGUGUGAAACAAGCCUACUGUAUUGCAUUCUUUUCUUUUUCCUAUUUGUCUCCCCCCCCAUCUCUUAAAAACAACACAAAACGUGACACAUCAAGCUAUUUACACAAGAGUCCAUUGGAAAAUACGCCCCACCUGGACAAUUAAAAUCUACAAGGGAACAAGAGGAAACAUGUAUGUGUUUUUUGUUGUUGUUAUCAUGAUUGCUUUUUGCAUCACUGUGGUUUGGUGAAGAGAGCAGUGUCGGGAAGAAAAAGGAUCUGUGCGUUAAAAGUGACUUUCAAAAGUUCGGACAGACCCACCUGGCCAUUUGUGAGGGGUUGUGGGAUCGUAACUCUCGUUAUAGCUACUGUGGUAGCUUGGGGAUAAUGGGGAGUGUAAUCCAAAGCAUGGGGGGGGGCGAGAAGAUUUCAGAAGGCGCCAGCUGCAUGACAGGAAUGAAACUCAAAUACUUUGGCCACCUAAUGAGAAGGAAGGACUCACUGGAGAAGGGCCUAAUGCUGGGAAAGAUUGAGAG
Long non-coding RNA from Crotalus tigris (Tiger rattlesnake), 5731 nucleotides. RefSeq lists it as uncharacterized. The record is from RefSeq and is a predicted model, not a curated record. The transcript is spliced from 8 exons. Lineage: Eukaryota; Metazoa; Chordata; Lepidosauria; Squamata; Viperidae.